This 403-nucleotide ribosomal RNA is filed under the name uncultured bacterium. Its description in RNAcentral is "bacterial SSU rRNA". It matches the Rfam family "Bacterial small subunit ribosomal RNA", at positions 356 to 773 of the family's 1533-position model. The record is from RNAcentral.
GGGGAAUAUUGCGCAAUGGGGGGAACCCUGACGCAGCAACGCCGCGUGAGUGAAGAAGGUCUUCGGAUCGUAAAACUCUGUCAUUGGGGAAGAAGUAAGUGACGGUACCCAAUGAGGAAGCCCCGGCUAACUACGUGCCAGCAGCCGCGGUAAUACGUAGGGGGCGAGCGUUGUCCGGAAUUACUGGGCGUAAAGGGUGCGUAGGCGGUCUUUUAAGUCAGAUGUGAAAUACCAGGGCUCAACCUUGGGGGUGCAUUUGAAACUGGGGGACUUGAGUGCAGGAGAGGAAAGUGGAAUUCCUAGUGUAGCGGUGAAAUGCGUAGAGAUUAGGAGGAACACCAGUGGCGAAGGCGACUUUCUGGACUGUAACUGACGCUGAGGCACGGGAGCGUGGGGAGCAAAC